GGAUGAUGAUGACACGACCAGAGAUACUGGCCAGGGUGGCCGUCUGUUCGACGGAAGAGGAGGUCACGCGGGGCUGGUCUGCUCGUCUCGGGUCGAUCCCAAAGCUCUAAAGGGCAGCGGUCUUAGCUGGUGGAGAGCAGAGGCGCUCGUGGGCGGCCGCGGAAGGGAGCGGCAGCUGCAGAACGUGGGGCCUCUGGGAGGGCCUAGAGGCGGCGGAGGGGCGGGGGGAGGAGGAGGAGCUUGUGGUGGCGCCAGCUAGAGAUGAGCGCCGCGGGCGUCUAGACUAAGGCCCCAGGGGCCGAGAGGGUAGGUCCCGGUCCCGGUCCCGGUAUGAGCAGCCGGUAGUACGUCCGAUCACUGUCCAAGUUGUAGUUAAGAGUUGAACUCGUAGAGGUUCGGUUUAUGCAGCCUUGUCCCGUACGACUGGACUGGUCUAAACUUACCCGACAUUUGUAGGUUUCUCUGUCGAUACGUAGAAUGUAACCUGUGAUGGGCUACAACCGUAUAAAAAGGUAACGACUCUUACUUAGAUAACCUUCCCUCGCGAUGCUUAAAUACGUCUUUUACGACGAAGGGACACCGGAGGGAGGACUUUCUCUGCUUCUGACUCCUCAACCACGAUAUCAAGAUGGAGGUUUCGUUGAACACAGGUCUACGACAAGCAAUGGUUUCAGAGUUCCGGACAGACCUAAUCGGUGGAGUCGUGAAAUACACUAACACAAACUUGUAGCACUUGUAGAAACAGACCAAAUUAAGGACCUGCUGGAACCGGUAGAACGGAGUAUUUUCCUCAUUACAUUGCACUACAGCAUAGACGUAGAAUGAUGUAUACACUUGCUAUAUUAGCUUAGUGUCGUCACGUACAGCUUUAUCAAAAAAAAAGAAAGAUUAAACACGAAAUAAAAAAAGCAUUAGAACGAUCGACCCGAAGUAACAGAGGUGGACGAAGAGAGGUAACCGUCGGCUCCUCCUCUGUCUCCGUCGGGAACGUAAAGAAAAACUCUUUUUAAGUGGCAUCUAGUGAUUUGAACUCGGCC
This 1037-nucleotide ribosomal RNA is filed under the name Triticum aestivum (bread wheat). Its description in RNAcentral is "partial small subunit ribosomal RNA". The record is from RNAcentral. Lineage: Eukaryota; Viridiplantae; Streptophyta; Magnoliopsida; Poales; Poaceae.